RNAcentral lists this ribosomal RNA (393 nucleotides) under uncultured bacterium. RNAcentral describes it as "partial 16S ribosomal RNA". It matches the Rfam family "Bacterial small subunit ribosomal RNA", at positions 523 to 918 of the family's 1533-position model. The record is from RNAcentral.
AUACGUAGGAUGCGAGCGUUAUCCGGAUUUAUUGGGUUUAAAGGGAGCGUAGGUGGAUUGUUAAGUCAGUUGUGAAAGUUUGCGGCUCAACCGUAAAAUUGCAGUUGAAACUGGCAGUCUCGAGUACAGUAGAGGUGGGCGGAAUUCGUGGUGUAGCGGUGAAAUGCUUAGAUAUCACGAAGAACUCCGAUUGCGAAGGCAGCUCACUAGACUGUUACUGACACUGAUGCUCGAAAGUGUGGGUAUCAAACAGGAUUAGAUACCCUGGUAGUCCACACAGUAAACGAUGAAUACUCGCUGUUUGCGAUAUACAGUAAGCGGCCAAGCGAAAGCAUUAAGUAUUCCACCUGGGGAGUACGCCGGCAACGGUGAAACUCAAAUGAAUUGGCGGGG